Poecilia latipinna (sailfin molly) is the source of this 197-nucleotide long non-coding RNA. RefSeq lists it as uncharacterized. The record is from RefSeq and is a predicted model, not a curated record. NCBI's taxonomy places the organism in Eukaryota, Metazoa, Chordata, Actinopteri, Cyprinodontiformes, Poeciliidae. The transcript has 2 exons.
GAAUACCUGUUCGUAGAGAGAAAGCCUGCCUGUUAAUGUAUGAACUUCACCUCCUGUGUUGUCAAUCUUUUAUCACACCUCCGAAAACAAUGGCUUUUCACUCAACCUUUCAUUGAGCUUUCCACACCACUGCUCAAAGUUGUCAAGAAAACGUAAUAAAGGAGCAAGACGCUCAGCUUCCUGGCUCAUGAAAUUGA